The sequence is a small nucleolar RNA, 136 nucleotides long. Its record names the gene U8. It matches the Rfam family "U8 small nucleolar RNA". Rfam says of the family: U8 is a member of the C/D class of snoRNA which contain the C (UGAUGA) and D (CUGA) box motifs. The record is from Ensembl.
UCGUCAGGUAGGAUAAUCCUUACCUGUUCCUCCUUCGGGAGGGCAGAAUGGAAAAUGAUGAUUGGAGCUCGCAUGAUUCGUGAUUAACGGCUCUGCGUAAUCAGGACUUGCAACACCCUGAUUGCUCCUAUCUGAU